UCGUUGUAGAUAUUGAUCUGAGUUAAGGUGCAAAAGUUUAGGGCUCAGACACUCCCACUGUUCUUGUCGAGAUCAUUCCGAUCGAACCUUCUCUAGGCACGAUCGGCAAUCUCUCUGAUUGAAGCAGGGUUUGACACCUAGCUUGUUGGAAUAGAGAGAAACUUACUUGAUGUAGAGCCACUUUCGGGUGCAUCAGGGGUGCCACCUGUUGAUGUUGGAGAUCAGGC
This 227-nucleotide long non-coding RNA is filed under the name Elaeis guineensis (African oil palm). Its description in RNAcentral is "long non-coding RNA (EGUI_LNC059280)". The record is from RNAcentral. Lineage: Eukaryota; Viridiplantae; Streptophyta; Magnoliopsida; Arecales; Arecaceae.